GCCAUGGUAGCUCUUUGUCCUCCCGAUUGAGUCGCAGUGGCGUACUGGUCCUUUUAGCACUGGCGGAGAGUAGAUUUAGUAAGUGCUGCUCCCCAGAGAUCUUAAGGCCACGUGAUUUGGUGUGGACCUGGGAGUUUGGGGUGCAGAGGCUAGGUGGGCCCUGUGCCCUGUGAUGUGCGUUUGUUAGGGUGAAGGGGCAACCCACUGUGCUGAUUUAGGAAUCGGGAGAGACGAUGGAGGGGGGUGGGACUGGGAGUUUGAGAAUGGAGUUCUGUGGGGUUGGUGAGGUCUUUGUAAUAAUCCAUUUAUCAUAACCAUGAGGAAGGCAGUGGAUUUGCAUGAGGGCACUGGUUCCUUCUUUCCCUUUUGCUGAAAUGACAGAUCAGCAUCCUUCCGAAAGCCCCCUGAGCCCUUAUUUCUGGGUUCUUCCUUUUUGUAACUGCAGACCUGGUCUUGCCAGAUUGGUGGCCCGGUGACUGUCAUCGUCCUGUUUCCUCUAGUGUCUGAGGCUUGGAGAAUAAGUGGUGUGUGGGUUCUGGGGCUGGGUGUGGGCUCUGGGGCUCUGUUGGAGAGCAUUUAAAUCAGCCCAGCCCUUUGAGUCCUCUGCUUACCCCCCUCCCUCGCCUCAGUCUACUUGGAUUUGUCUGUUGUCCUCAAAGAGAAGGUGGCUUGGGGGGUUAGUUGUUGGUGACCCGCCUGUGAUGGUGUGGUAGCGGGGAGAAAGGGCACGGCACCACCUGGCCUGGUUCUUCACCGCUCAGCCUCCAUUUCCUCAGUCAUGUGGGGGCGACAGUGAGGACAGCCACCUCAGUGGUUGCUGGCAGGACCCUCUGCGCACUUGUAGUUAAUAUUCUCCCAGCCUGAUGGAGCAGUCCUUCGCUCCUAUUAAUGGUCGCUUGCUAAGAAGCCUCCUGGAUGGGAGGGCUGCCCCCGGGGGAGGGUUGUUGUUGUUGUGAGUGCGCUGUGUUCUGCCUCCUUGUGGGCAGUGGCUGUGCAGGCCCCCACCUCCUGCGUGAUGUGUCUGGUUUGAGGUCUGGGCUCCGCAGCUCUGCUGGUUUCUCUGGACAGGCACGGCCACAGUUGUCAUCUCCUUCUUCACCUUUCUGUCUGCUUUUCAGCUCUUUGGGCACAGACUAGACAUGUGCUUCAUAGGAGUUCCCCUCGUGGCUCAGUGAGUUAAGAACCCAACAUAGUGUCUGAGAUUAUGUGGGUUUGACCCCUGGCCUUGCUCAGUGGGCUAAGGCCACAAGCUGCUGUGUAGGUUGCAGAUAUGGCUUGAAUCUGAUGUUGCCAUGACUGUGGUGUAGGCCAGCAGCUGCAGCUCUGAUGUGACCCCCAACCUGGGAACUUCCAUAUGCUGUAGGUGUGGCUGUAAAAAGAAAAACAAUUAUUUACAGGAACAUUGGCCCAAGCAUGAAGUUACUUGUAAUGGGACAUUGGUGGUUGCAUGGGUUAUCAUAGCGUACAGUUGGAAAUGGUUUACAUGUCUGCCCGUGGUGCACGGGUAAAUAAAAUGCAGCACAACUACACAGCGAAAUACUAGGCAUUAAAAAGAGUCUCAGAUUGGGAUGUGUUUUCUUGAAAAAAUGACCAUCGUGUAUUAAUAAAAGAAAGCAGGUUCCCAGGCUAGGGGUCCAAUUGGAGCUACAGCUGCCAGCCUACACCACAGCCACAGCAACGCCAGAUCCAAGCUGCGUCUGUGAUCUACACCACGGCUCACAGCAACGCUGGAUCCUUAACCCAUAGUGCAAGGCCAGGGCUUGAACCUGCAGCCUCACGGGUACUAGUCAGAUUCGUGUCCAUGGAUCCCCGAUGGGAACUCCUGGACCCUGUGUUAAGAGCAGAGUUCCUCACCUGAUGCAGUGUCCACUCCAACCCCACCCCUCUCCAGGCCAGACUUGCCUGCCCGUUCCCACCGCCCCGGGAGUAUGGCCAGGGCCUGGGAGCUGUGUGGGUGUUUGAUUCUGGGCCCCAGGGCUUCUUGGCCAGCAUGGACCUCAGUCGCUAUAGCAAGUGUUUCUCUGUCCACUGACUGCCUACACUUCCAGAGCAGAUCUGGCUGUCAAACUGACCUGGGUUCAAGUUCAGGUUUUGCAGUACCCUAACUUGAAGAUGGUGGCCUUUUGCCAGUCACUUAACUUCACUGAGCCUUGGUGUCUUGUCUGUAAUGAGGGUGCAAAUACCUUUCUCUUAGUGGUUUAUCUAUUGUAUGUCUUGUUUCAAAGAACCUUUUUUUUUUUUUUUUUUUUUUUUUUUUUUUUUUUUUUUNNNNNNNNNNNNNNNNNNNNNNNNNNNNNNNNNNNNNNNNNNNNNNNNNNNNNNNNNNNNNNNNNNNNNNNNNNNNNNNNNNNNNNNNNNNNNNNCCUACACCACAGCUCAUGGCAAUGCCGGAUCGUUAACCCACUGAGCAAGGGCAGGGAUCGAACCCGCAACCUCAUGGUUCCUAGUCGGAUUCGUUAACCACUGCGCCACGACGGGAACUCCCAAAGAACCAUUUUAAAAUUCAAAAGUAAAAAAAUAAAAUUCAGCUUUACUCAAGUGUAUUCCUUAAAUUUCUUUUGGCUUUUUCUUCAUUAAUUGUUUCUGUUUUCCUUCACAUUCAGUUGUGUCUUUUUCCUGAUUUCUUGUAUCAAAUGCUUAACUUAAUUUCUUCCUUUUCUGUUAGGAAUCUUAAGGUUUUAGUUGAUUAAAUUUCCUCUAAGUACAGAUUUGUCUUUGUUUAAAAAGCUUGAUGUGUAAUGUUCCUUUCUCCAUCUGUGCUAUUUUCUAGGUAUUCAAUAGCUGUGGUGUUUUUUUUUUUUUUUUGCCUUUUCUAGGGUGACUCCCGCAGCAUUUGGAGAUUCCCAGGCUAGGGGUUGAAUCAGAGCUGUAGCCGCCGGCCUACACCAGAGCCACAGCAACGAGGGAGCCGAGCCAUGUCUGUAACCUACACCUCAGCUCACGGCAACGCCGGAUCCUUAACCCACUGAGCAAGGCCAGGGAUUGAACCCGCAACCUCAUGGUUCCUAGUCGGAUUCGUUAACCACUGCGCCACAACGGGAACUCCAAGGAGGGAAUUUUAAGUUUUCCAACUGACAGUGUUAUUUAUUUUUGCUUUUUAGGGCCACACCUGCAACAUAUGAAAGUUCCCAGGCUAGGGGUGAAAUCCAAGCUGCAGCUGCCUGCCAGUCUGCACCAUAGCCACAGCAAUAUGGGAUGGAUCUCUGUGGCCUACACCACAGCUCACAGCAACGCCGGAUCCUUAACCCGCUGAGUGAGGCCAGGGAUCGAACCUGUAUCCUCAUGGAUGCUAGUCAGAUUGGUUUCCACUGAGCCACUAUGGGAACUCUGGGUUAUUUUUACUUCUGCUCUCAUUAUAUCUUGUUUUAUUGUACAGAGACAUUUGCUUUUCAGAAUUUGGGGUUUUCCUUAACGUCUCACGUGUAGUUUUGUUUUUUUUUUUUUUUUUUUUGAGGGGCACACUUGCCACAUAUGGAAGUUCCCAGGCUAGGGGUCAAAUUGGAGCUGUAGUCAGUGGCCUGCACCACAGCCACACCAGAUCCAAGCCUCAUCUGAGACCUACACCACAGCUCACAGCAAUGCCAGAUCCUUAACCCAUGAGUGAGGCCGGGGAUAGAACCUGCGUCUUCACGGAUGCUCGUCAGAUUCCUUUCCACUCUGCUGUGCUGUGACAGAACUCCCUGUUGCCACCUUUUGACCAUAUUUGCUGAUCUACCUUGGUCAGGUCAGCUCUUACUGUUUCUGUUUUGAAUGGGCCUUGGUCUACCAAGGUGUAGGGAUUUCUGUAUUUUCCAGCGUCUCCCUCUUGGGAUUUUUUUUCCUUUGAAAGUUGCUCUGCGGUAGAGGUUUUGCUCCUCCCUUAUGCUUCCAUGGCGGAUGGUUGUCCUCACCGAGGCAAAAUGACUCUCCUGUUCCUUUCUUUCUCUCUUGUGUCUGGCGUCUCUCAUGCAGUGUUACACAUUGGUGAGUUUAUUCCUUCUCGCUGCUGCUGCUUUGUUUCAUUGAGGUGUAAUUGACAAGGUGAACAGGACAAUGAUUUGACUGAGAUACGUUAUGAGAUGAGGCCCACAGUAACAUUUAGUGAGCAUCCAUCCUCUCGCAGAGAUAGAAAAUUAAAGGCGUAGAAACACAUGGUUUUUCCUCGUGGUGAGGUUUACACCUUAAUGACCUUCGCAUGUAACAUACAGUAGUGUUAAUUAUAUUUACAUGUUGUACAUUGUAUCCCUGGUUCUUCAGGUUCUUGUAUCUGGAAGUUUGUACCUUUUGGCGGCCUUCAUCCAGUUCCCCUCCCCACCUCUGCCUCCGAUAACCACAGGUCUGAUCUUUUGUCUCUGAGUUUGUUUUGAAGUAUCGCUGACCUGCAGCUCUGUAUUGGUACCUGGUACCCAGUACAGUGAUUCAGUAUUUCUCUGCAUUUCAGAGUGAUCACCUCGACAAGCCUAGUUACCAUCUGUCUGUUCCUUCUCGUUGUGAAAUAGUAUUCUGUUAUGUGAGUGUAAUAUUUAUUCGUUCUAGCUGUGAUAGAUUUUACUUAGCUCGGUUCCAUUUAGAGCUGUGGUGGAGUGCUGCCAUUGCCGUGCUCACGCGUCCUUCGGUGUGUCUUGGUAUGUGUUCUCUUGCGUUCCUACCUAGGAAUGGAAUUGCUAGGUCCCAGGGGACGCAUAGGUUCGGCUUUAGUAGGCAGCUGCCACUUUUCCAGAGAGUGUACCAAUUGGCACACCCACCAGUAGUGCACAAGUGUCGUCCUUCCUUCCCACACUCACCAGCCCUUGGUGUAAAGAUGUCUCCUCUCACCAGAUUGAUCUCUAGAUGCUGCGCGAUUCCAACCAGAAUCCCAGCAGGCUUUUCUUUUGCUGUUGGUUAUUUGGAAAUUUGACAAACCGAUUAUGAAACUUAUGUGAAAAUGCAAAAAAGGACCAAGACUAAGCAACGCUGGAAGGGCUCAGCUGACUAGAUGUCAAGGCUUUAUAAAAGCCACAGUAAGGAAGGCAGCACAGUGUUGGUGAAAGGCUAGACAAAUGGACCGAUGGAACUGAGAUCUUGAAACAGGCUGCAUGGAAGCAGUCACUUAAUGUAUGACAAAGGUGCCACAUGACAGAUGGAAAAAAAUGGCCUUUUCAAAAAAAGGUCCUGGGAAGGUUGGAUUCUCCAUGUAGAAGAGGUGGGGGGAGAAUCUUCUGCCUGUAAUCCUGUCUAGAAUCAGUUUUAGGUAGAUUAUAGAGCUAAACGUGAAAGAGAAAACAGAACUUCUGGAGUAAACAGGAGAAUAUCCUUACCGUCUUGGAGAAGACAGUUCUUUAAAUAGGAUACAGAAAGUGCUACCAAAAUAGAGAAGAUUGGUACAUUGAACUGCCUUAAGCCUUCUCUCUUCUACUUUCUACAAAUGCUCCAAUGAAAUGCAGCAAACACUGUUUUGUAAUUGCCCAGAUCGUUAGAUAAUCCGUCAGUCCCCUGCUCUCCUCGGAUGGACGGCUCCUCUCCUGCCUUCAGUGCAGCUGCCUGGGGCUUUCUUUGGCUGUCACUCAGGGUCUUGUUCCUCUGUGUUGGAUCCCCUGUUUCUUGGGUCCGUGGGUGGUGUGAACGUCAAAUAACAGCGACUCUCUUAAGCUGCCUUGGAGCAAUAAGGUCACUGGCUCAAGUUAAGUAGAAUUCCAGCAGUUCCCCUUUGGUUGGUCCAGAUACCUUUCUUGUCUGGGUGGGUCUCUGGCCAGGGGGAUGGAGUUCUCUUAGAUGGAGCUGGGUGUGGGUCAGCUUCCCAGGCCGCAGGCUUCUUGGGAAGGGACAAGGUCACGUCCUCCAGGAAAGAAGAAGAGAGAGUUGACUUCCAGGAGGUCAGUCCACCGUGGCCACUGCAACAUUUGCCCGUGUCUUGGUUUGCUUUCUUACUCGUUAGAGCAUCUUUCCCUGUAACUUUCUGAGAAGGUAGAAUGUUUUGAGUCCUUUUGCGAGUCUAAAAAAGUUUUUUUCUAUCUUCACACUUGCCUCUGUCAGCAGAUUCUAGAUUUUAGACUGAAAAUUGUUUUCGGGGGAAGGGAAUGAUGCUGGUAAGCGUAGCGCAGUUGCUCCCAGACUCAUUGCCCCUCCCUCCUUUAUUCCUCCCUGGGGCCUUUUUUGGGGGCGAUGAUUGGCUUUCGGUCCUUGUCUUUAUCCCCAGUGUCCUGGGAUUUCACUUUGUACUUCCAUUGCUCUGAGGACUUGGAGGAGGGCUCUUGCAGUCUUGGGUCCUUUAGCUCUGGGAAUUUGUCUUGUAAUUUUUAUUUGAUGAUUUCCCUCCCUUUUCUCCCCUUUGUGUUUCUGGAACUCCUGGAUUAAUCUGAUUUUGCUGGGAGAAACCAGUGUUCAUCUCCUGGUUAAUUUGUCUGUGAUUUCCUUGACUUUAUCUUGCAUUGCUUCUAUUGAAAUUGAAAUUAAGAAAGUUCCCUUGUAGCACAGGGGGUUAAAGAUCUGGCAUUGCUGCAGCUGUGGUACAGGUGUGGCCAAAAAAAAAAAAAGGGAAAAUUGAAGUUUAAUUUUUUUUUAAUUUUUUUUAUUUUUUAUUUUUUUGGCUUUUUAGGGCUUCACCUGUGGCAUAUGGAGGUUCCGAGGCUAGGAGUCACACUGGAGCUGCAGCUGCUGGCCUACACCACAGCCACAGCAAUGCCAGAUCCAAGCCACAUCUGCAACCUGUAUCACAGCUCAUGGCAACGCCGGAGUCUUAACCUACUGAGUGAGGCCAGGGAUCGAAUCUGAAUCCUCAUGGAUCCUAGUCGGGUUUGUUACCUGCUGAGCCACAACAGGAACUCCCUAAAGUUAAAAAAAAUUUUCAGAAUGGUUUGGAUUUAUUGUAAAGUUAGAGGUUCUGUAUACCCUGCUUCCAGUUUCACCUGUUAGAAAGAUCUUACAUUAUUAUGGUCCAUUUGUCCCAACUAAUUAACCAGCAUUUAUACCCUGAAGUCUCUGUUUUAUUCAGAUUUUCUUAGUUAUUUAAUGUCCCUUUCUGUUCUACGGUACCAUGUUUUGUUGUCCUGUCUCCUUAUGUUCCUUUAUUAUUUUAUUUUAUUUUAUUUUAUUUUGUCUUUUUGCCACUUCUUGGGCCGCUCCUACAGCAUAUGGAGGUUCCCAGGCUAGGGGUCUAAUCGGAGCUGUAGCCGCCAGCCUACACCAGAGCCACAGCAACGUGGGAUCCAAGCCAUGUCUGCAACCUACACCAUAGCUCACAGCAAUGCUGGAUCCUUAACCCUACUGAGCAAGGCCAGGGACCGAACCCGCAACCUCGUGGUUCCUAGUCGGAUUCCUUAACCACUGUGCCACGACGGGAACUCCCUUAAGUUCCUUUAGACUGUGACAGUUGCCAGAUUUUUCCUGUCUCUGAUGACCUUGACAGUCUUGGGGAGUACUGAUCAGGUAUUUUGUAGAAUGUCCCUCAGUUGGGAUUUGUCUGAUUUUUCUCCUGAUUAACCUGAGCUUUUGGGGUUUUGGCUGUCCUGUCUUGAGUUCUUCCUAGGGCUUUUUUCUGUUUUCUGGUGCCCCGUACACAAAAAAGCACAACAAUCUGUUUUUGUUUGCAGGUGUGCAACGUCUCAGUCUCCUGAGGACAUUCGUUUUAUGUUAUGUAUUUUAAAAAAACUCUUUGAUUCCUGGCAUUGUCUGUCUCCUCCAGCUUCUUUCGUUUGUCUCUCUGUAUUGCUUUCUGUCUUUCAGUUGACGUCUCAGAUGUCCGUGGUCUUAGACGUGUACACAGCUGAUUGGAAACUGGGUGGGUGGGUCAGCAGGAGCUCUUGGGGGUGGGGCGGGUAGUUGAGAAGCUGACCUUUUAUAUCCCAAGUGGGUCUUGUAGGUUUUCGAGAGAAUGCUCCUUUGCCGGAGGUUGCACAUGCCUCUGCUCCACUCCGUGGGGCCAGCAGCAGAGGGGACUUCGGCCCCACAGUUUGCUCCUCAGGUUUUCACUUAGCUUCUUUUUUUAGCUCCUUUCCUCCCCACCCUCCCCCCGCCCAUUUGACCCUGGUGACCCCUCUAGGGGAGCAGGAAGGCUGUGUGGGAGGCUGGCGGUGGCACAUGCAGCCUUUCUGCAAGGGCUCCUCACCCUCCCAGUCCUGCAGGGUGCCCACCCUUCCCCAUACUUCCUGAGCUGCUAAGUCUGUUACUACUCCGGUUGGUUCUUUGUCUGCCGCCAUUGUCCCUGUGUUUUGCAUUCUCUUUGUUGUCUAUUUCCUUUUAAAGGGUUUUGGGAAGGUGAGCUAUAAAUGCCAUGUUUAGCCAGAACGUCCCUGUUUUCUAAAGAGUUUUCAUGCAUCAGGUGGAAUGGAGGUAAGGGCACAUCUGGGUAGGCACACAUGUGUGUUUGAGUACCUGUGUGUGUCCAUUUGUCAGUUACACCUCUCGGCUCCUUUUCCCCCUGAUGGGUGGUGCUUGUCUUCGUAUCAGAACAUCGAGAGCUGCCAUUUGCUGUCGUGGCUACAGAGGGUUGCAAGGCCCUGGAGAAAGGGUGGGUUGGGCUGUUGGCCAUGUGUCACACCAUCUUGCACAAAGUGAGCUCUCUGUCCCUGCCCUCCUGAGAAGGGAGGAAAGGGGAGCUCUCCAUGACAGCCUGUCCUCACAGCAGCCUUCUAAAGUAGGCCUUCUGGGAGUUCCCGUCGAGGUGCAGCAGAACCGUGAGGUUUCGGGUCCAUUCCUGGCCUCGAUCAGUGGGUUAAGGAUCCGGCGUUGCCAUGAGCUGGGGUGUAGGCUGGCAGCUGCAGCUCCGAUUAGACCCCCAGUUUGAGAACUUCCAUAUGCCGCAGGUGCAGCCUUAAAAAGUAAAAAAAAUUAAAAAAAAAAA
Molecule: long non-coding RNA, 8797 nt
Filed under: Sus scrofa (pig)
Lineage: Eukaryota; Metazoa; Chordata; Mammalia; Artiodactyla; Suidae
Description: lncRNA (ENSSSCG00055007805.1)
Source: RNAcentral